This 73-nucleotide transfer RNA is filed under the name Elusimicrobia bacterium RIFOXYA1_FULL_47_7. RNAcentral's name for it is "tRNA-Thr". It matches the Rfam family "tRNA". Rfam says of the family: Transfer RNA (tRNA) molecules are approximately 80 nucleotides in length. Their secondary structure includes four short double-helical elements and three loops (D, anti-codon, and T loops). Further hydrogen bonds mediate the characteristic L-shaped molecular structure. tRNAs have two regions of fundamental functional importance: the anti-codon, which is responsible for specific mRNA codon recognition, and the 3' end, to which the tRNAs corresponding amino acid is attached (by aminoacyl-tRNA synthetases). tRNAs cope with the degeneracy of the genetic code in two manners: having more than one tRNA (with a specific anti-codon) for a particular amino acid; and 'wobble' base-pairing, i.e. permitting non-standard base-pairing at the 3rd anti-codon position. The record is from RNAcentral. RNAcentral also lists the same sequence under 4 other names. Lineage: Bacteria; Pseudomonadati; Elusimicrobiota.
GCCGACGUAGCUCAGCUGGUAGAGCAACGGUUUUGUAAACCGUUGGUCGGAGGUUCAAGUCCUCUCGUCGGCU